AGUGAACGCUGGCGGUAGGCCUAACACAUGCAAGUCGAACGGCAGCACAGUAAGAGCUUGCUCUUACGGGUGGCGAGUGGCGGACGGGUGAGGAAUACAUCGGAAUCUACUUUUUCGUGGGGGAUAACGUAGGGAAACUUACGCUAGUACCGCAUACGACCUACGGGUGAAAGCAGGGGAUCUUCGGACCUUGCGCGAUUGAAUGAGCCGAUGUCGGAUUAGCUAGUUGGCGGGGUAAAGGCCCACCAAGGCGACGAUCCGUAGCUGGUCCGAGAGGAUGAUCAGCCACACUGGAACUGAGACACGGUCCAGACUCCUACGGGAGGCAGCAGUGGGGAAUAUUGGACAAUGGGCGCAAGCCUGAUCCAGCCAUACCGCGUGGGUGAAGAAGGCCUUCGGGUUGUAAAGCCCUUUUGUUGGGAAAGAAAAGCAGCAGGUUAAUACCCCGCUGUUCUGACGGUACCCAAAGAAUAAGCACCGGCUAACUUCGUG
Molecule: ribosomal RNA, 492 nt
Filed under: uncultured bacterium
Lineage: Bacteria
Description: partial 16S ribosomal RNA
Rfam family: Bacterial small subunit ribosomal RNA
Source: RNAcentral